UUAGCUCAGCUGGGAGAGCAUCUGCCUUACAAGCAGAGGGUCGGCGGUUCGAGCCCGUCAUCCUCCACCA
Molecule: transfer RNA, 70 nt
Filed under: Bacillus velezensis
Lineage: Bacteria; Bacillati; Bacillota; Bacilli; Caryophanales; Bacillaceae
Description: tRNA-Val
Rfam family: tRNA
About the family: Transfer RNA (tRNA) molecules are approximately 80 nucleotides in length. Their secondary structure includes four short double-helical elements and three loops (D, anti-codon, and T loops).
Source: RNAcentral